CUCCUGGAAGUGACUUAAAUCCUGGAAGAGAUCUGAGGGGGUGAAUAAUGGAAUGGAGAAGGUUCCCCAAGGAAAAAAUUCACCUACUCCAUCCCAGAAGACGACAGUGGAUCCAGCCUGGGCCUUCAUCCCAAUGCUGCCGGGAGCUUAAAGCAGUGUGACCAGAAGUUCUCCAUCACCCCAUAAAGCCCAGCACCUAAGCGAUCCACCUUUGUUCCUCCCGUAA
Long non-coding RNA from Capra hircus (goat), 226 nucleotides. RefSeq lists it as uncharacterized. The record is from RefSeq and is a predicted model, not a curated record. NCBI's taxonomy places the organism in Eukaryota, Metazoa, Chordata, Mammalia, Artiodactyla, Bovidae. The transcript has 3 exons.